This 66-nucleotide non-coding RNA is filed under the name Noviherbaspirillum autotrophicum. Its description in RNAcentral is "Herbaspirillum sp. TSA66 Betaproteobacteria toxic small RNA". It matches the Rfam family "Betaproteobacteria toxic small RNA". From Rfam's summary of the family: Overexpression in amino aid rich medium attenuates growth, suggesting role in repressing amino acid intake and metabolism. Lineage: Bacteria; Pseudomonadati; Pseudomonadota; Betaproteobacteria; Burkholderiales; Oxalobacteraceae. The record is from Rfam by way of RNAcentral.
UGUCUCCUCCAACUCUCCUUGAAUUGGAUUUCAACCCGCUACCGCAAGGCUAGCGGGUUUUUUUUC